CAGAGAAUAGUUUAUUAAAAUAUUAAUUUUGGAGAUUAAAGAUGAGGGUUUCCUUUUCUCUGA
RNAcentral lists this transfer RNA (63 nucleotides) under Pselaphinae sp. 9 EF-2015. RNAcentral's name for it is "tRNA-Pro". It matches the Rfam family "tRNA". From Rfam's summary of the family: Transfer RNA (tRNA) molecules are approximately 80 nucleotides in length. Their secondary structure includes four short double-helical elements and three loops (D, anti-codon, and T loops). Lineage: Eukaryota; Metazoa; Arthropoda; Insecta; Coleoptera; Staphylinidae. The record is from RNAcentral.